Molecule: long non-coding RNA, 222 nt
Filed under: Hordeum vulgare
Lineage: Eukaryota; Viridiplantae; Streptophyta; Magnoliopsida; Poales; Poaceae
Description: long non-coding RNA (HVUL_LNC019637)
Source: RNAcentral
UGGGAUAUGGACACCGGAGCCUUUACGAGUGGCUAGAGACAAAUGUCGCGAAAAUAUUUUUGGGGACGUAUUGUUUGGUCCAUCAUGCGGUACUCACUCCGAAGUGCUUAUUUGUUUCCCCCCCUCUUAAUAUAAGAAGAAUCAUUCAUGGUCCAUCACAAUGAAAUGUUUGUAUACCAGCUAUUUCAGUCUACAUGAAAAUUGCCGGUUCGUUGCAACCGG